Molecule: ribosomal RNA, 431 nt
Filed under: uncultured Lactobacillus sp.
Lineage: Bacteria; Bacillati; Bacillota; Bacilli; Lactobacillales; Lactobacillaceae
Description: bacterial SSU rRNA
Rfam family: Bacterial small subunit ribosomal RNA
Source: RNAcentral
AUGAACGCUGGCGGCGUGCCUAAUACAUGCAAGUCGAACGAGUUCUCCCUAAAUCUUUUGAUGCUUGCAUUAAAAGAUUUAGGAUUCGGAACGAGUGGCGAACUGGUGAGUAACACGUGGGUAACCUGCCCUGAAGUGGGGGAUAACAUUUGGAAACAAAUGCUAAUACCGCAUAAUUAGUUGAAACCACGUGGUUUCAACUUGAAAGAUGGCUCUGCUAUCACUUUAGGAUGGACCCCGCGGCGUAUUAGCUAGUUGGUGAGAUAAUAGCCCACCAAGGCGAUGAUACGUAGCCGACCUGAGAGGGUAAUCGGCCACAUUGGGACUGAGACACGGCCCAGACUCCUACGGGAGGCAGCAGUAGGGAAUCUUCCACAAUGGACGCAAGUCUGAUGGAGCAACGCCGCGUGAGUGAAGAAGGUUUCGCUCGU